UACAGAGGGGGCAAGCGUUGUUCGGAAUUACUGGGCGUAAAGGGCGCGUAGGCGGCCUGUUAAGUCAGACGUGAAAUCCCUCGGCUCAACCGGGGAACUGCGUCUGAUACUGGCGGGCUUGAAUUCGGGAGAGGGAUGUGGAAUUCCAGGUGUAGCGGUGAAAUGCGCAGAUAUCAGGAGGAACACCAAUGGCGAAGGCAGCUCGCUGGGACGUGACUGACGCUGAGACGCGAAAGCGUGGGGAGCAAACAGG
Molecule: ribosomal RNA, 253 nt
Filed under: uncultured bacterium
Lineage: Bacteria
Description: partial 16S ribosomal RNA
Rfam family: Bacterial small subunit ribosomal RNA
Source: RNAcentral